CAAUAGCAUAUAUUAACGUUGUUGCAGUUGAAAAGCUCGUAGUUGAACUUUUGGUAGGAGCGACCUGGCCUUGGGCGCAUGCCCUUGUUUGCCGUGUGUCGUAUCUGGCCAUCCUUUUCCGUUUCGGCGGGAAUCCUUUACUGUGAGUAAACUGAGUGCUCAAAACAAGACGUUUGUUUGGUACAUUAAAGCAUGGAAUAAUAAGAUAGGACCUGGUUACUAUUUUGUUGGUUUGCAUAGCUAGGUAAUGAUUAACAGGGACAGUUGGGGGUAUUCGUAUUUAAUUGUCAGAGGUGAAAUUCUUGGAUUUAUGAAAGACGAACGACUGCGAAAGCAUUUACCAAGGAUGUUUUCAUUA
RNAcentral lists this ribosomal RNA (358 nucleotides) under uncultured eukaryote. Its description in RNAcentral is "partial 18S ribosomal RNA". It matches the Rfam family "Eukaryotic small subunit ribosomal RNA", at positions 592 to 975 of the family's 1831-position model. The record is from RNAcentral.